GAAAUGCGAUAAGUAGUGUGAAUUGCAGAAUUCAGUGAAUCAUCGAAUCUUUGAACGCACAUUGCGCCCCUUGGUAUUCCAUGGGGCAUGCCUGUUCGAGCGUCAUUUGUACCUUCAAGCUUUGCUUGGUGUUGGGUGUUUGUCUCGCCUCUGCGUGUAGACUCGCCUCAAAACAAUUGGCAGCCGGCGUAUUGAUUUCGGAGCGCAGUACAUCUCGCGCUUUGCACUCAUAACGACGACGUCCAAAAGUACAUUUUUACACUCUUGACCUCGGAUCAGGUAGGGAUACCCGCAGAACUUAAGC
This 304-nucleotide unclassified non-coding RNA is filed under the name plant metagenome. RNAcentral's name for it is "partial contains 5.8S ribosomal RNA, internal transcribed spacer 2, and large subunit ribosomal RNA". The stretch from base 1 to 105 matches the Rfam family "5.8S ribosomal RNA", at positions 50 to 154 of the family's 154-position model. The record is from RNAcentral.